RNAcentral lists this ribosomal RNA (2108 nucleotides) under Salmonella enterica subsp. enterica serovar Stanleyville. Its description in RNAcentral is "partial 23S ribosomal RNA". It matches the Rfam family "Bacterial large subunit ribosomal RNA", at positions 711 to 2802 of the family's 2925-position model. Lineage: Bacteria; Pseudomonadati; Pseudomonadota; Gammaproteobacteria; Enterobacterales; Enterobacteriaceae. The record is from RNAcentral.
AGACCCGAAACCCGGUGAUCUAGCCAUGGGCAGGUUGAAGGUUGGGUAACACUAACUGGAGGACCGAACCGACUAAUGUUGAAAAAUUAGCGGAUGACCUGUGGCUGGGGGUGAAAGGCCAAUCAAACCGGGAGAUAGCUGGUUCUCCCCGAAAGCUAUUUAGGUAGCGCCUCGUGAAUUCAUCUCCGGGGGUAGAGCACUGUUUCGGCUAGGGGGCCAUCCCGGCUUACCAACCCGAUGCAAACUGCGAAUACCGGAGAAUGUUAUCACGGGAGACACACGGCGGGUGCUAACGUCCGUCGUGAAGAGGGAAACAACCCAGACCGCCAGCUAAGGUCCCAAAGUCAUGGUUAAGUGGGAAACGAUGUGGGAAGGCCCAGACAGCCAGGAUGUUGGCUUAGAAGCAGCCAUCAUUUAAAGAAAGCGUAAUAGCUCACUGGUCGAGUCGGCCUGCGCGGAAGAUGUAACGGGGCUAAACCAUGCACCGAAGCUGCGGCAGCGACACUGUGUGUUGUUGGGUAGGGGAGCGUUCUGUAAGCCUGCGAAGGUGGCCUGUGAGGGUUGCUGGAGGUAUCAGAAGUGCGAAUGCUGACAUAAGUAACGAUAAAGCGGGUGAAAAGCCCGCUCGCCGGAAGACCAAGGGUUCCUGUCCAACGUUAAUCGGGGCAGGGUGAGUCGACCCCUAAGGCGAGGCCGAAAGGCGUAGUCGAUGGGAAACGGGUUAAUAUUCCCGUACUUGGUGUUACUGCGAAGGGGGGACGGAGAAGGCUAUGUUGGCCGGGCGACGGUUGUCCCGGUUUAAGCGUGUAGGCUGGUUUUCCAGGCAAAUCCGGAAAAUCAAGGCUGAGGCGUGACGACGAGGCACUACGGUGCUGAAGCAACAAAUGCCCUGCUUCCAGGAAAAGCCUCUAAGCAUCAGGUAACAUCAAAUCGUACCCCAAACCGACACAGGUGGUCAGGUAGAGAAUACCAAGGCGCUUGAGAGAACUCGGGUGAAGGAACUAGGCAAAAUGGUGCCGUAACUUCGGGAGAAGGCACGCUGACAUGUAGGUGAAGUGAUUUACUCAUGGAGCUGAAGUCAGUCGAAGAUACCAGCUGGCUGCAACUGUUUAUUAAAAACACAGCACUGUGCAAACACGAAAGUGGACGUAUACGGUGUGACGCCUGCCCGGUGCCGGAAGGUUAAUUGAUGGGGUCAGCGCAAGCGAAGCUCCUGAUCGAAGCCCCGGUAAACGGCGGCCGUAACUAUAACGGUCCUAAGGUAGCGAAAUUCCUUGUCGGGUAAGUUCCGACCUGCACGAAUGGCGUAAUGAUGGCCAGGCUGUCUCCACCCGAGACUCAGUGAAAUUGAACUCGCUGUGAAGAUGCAGUGUACCCGCGGCAAGACGGAAAGACCCCGUGAACCUUUACUAUAGCUUGACACUGAACAUUGAGCCUUGAUGUGUAGGAUAGGUGGGAGGCUUUGAAGCGUGGACGCCAGUCUGCGUGGAGCCGACCUUGAAAUACCACCCUUUAAUGUUUGAUGUUCUAACGUGGACCCGUGAUCCGGGUUGCGGACAGUGUCUGGUGGGUAGUUUGACUGGGGCGGUCUCCUCCUAAAGAGUAACGGAGGAGCACGAAGGUUGGCUAAUCCUGGUCGGACAUCAGGAGGUUAGUGCAAUGGCAUAAGCCAGCUUGACUGCGAGCGUGACGGCGCGAGCAGGUGCGAAAGCAGGUCAUAGUGAUCCGGUGGUUCUGAAUGGAAGGGCCAUCGCUCAACGGAUAAAAGGUACUCCGGGGAUAACAGGCUGAUACCGCCCAAGAGUUCAUAUCGACGGCGGUGUUUGGCACCUCGAUGUCGGCUCAUCACAUCCUGGGGCUGAAGUAGGUCCCAAGGGUAUGGCUGUUCGCCAUUUAAAGUGGUACGCGAGCUGGGUUUAGAACGUCGUGAGACAGUUCGGUCCCUAUCUGCCGUGGGCGCUGGAGAACUGAGGGGGGCUGCUCCUAGUACGAGAGGACCGGAGUGGACGCAUCACUGGUGUUCGGGUUGUCAUGCCAAUGGCACUGCCCGGUAGCUAAAUGCGGAAGAGAUAAGUGCUGAAAGCAUCUAAGCACGAAACUUGCCCCGA